This 549-nucleotide ribosomal RNA is filed under the name uncultured Glomeromycotina. Its description in RNAcentral is "SSU rRNA". It matches the Rfam family "Eukaryotic small subunit ribosomal RNA", at positions 548 to 1098 of the family's 1831-position model. Lineage: Eukaryota; Fungi; Glomeromycota. The record is from RNAcentral.
UUGGAGGGCAAGUCUGGUGCCAGCAGCCGCGGUAAUUCCAGCUCCAAUAGCGUAUAUUAAAGUUGUUGCAGUUAAAAAGCUCGUAGUUGAAUUUCGAGAUCAGUACGCUGGUCGUGCCUUCGGUAUGCACUGGUGUCACUGGUUUCUCCCUUCUGAAGAACCGUCAUGUCAUUAAGUUGGUGUGGCGGGGAAUCAGGACUGUUACUUCGAAAAAAUUAGAGUGUUUAAAGCAGGCUCGCGCUUGAAUACAUUAGCAUGGAAUAAUGAAAUAGGACGUUUGACCCUAUUUUGUUGGUUUCUAGGAUCGACGUAAUGAUUAAUAGGGAUAGUUGGGGGCAUUAGUAUUCAAUUGUCAGAGGUGAAAUUCUUGGAUUUAUUGAAGACUAACUACUGCGAAAGCAUUUGCCAAGGAUGUUUUCAUUAAUCAAGAACGAAAGUUAGGGGAUCGAAGACGAUCAGAUACCGUCGUAGUCUUAACCAUAAACUAUGCCGACUAGGGAUCGGAUGAUGUUAAUUUUUUAAUGACUCAUUCGGCGCCUUACGGGAAAC